Long non-coding RNA from Brienomyrus brachyistius, 707 nucleotides. RefSeq lists it as uncharacterized. NCBI's taxonomy places the organism in Eukaryota, Metazoa, Chordata, Actinopteri, Osteoglossiformes, Mormyridae. The transcript has 3 exons. The record is from RefSeq and is a predicted model, not a curated record.
CGAAGAGCCGCGAUUUGGCCCAAGUGCUAAAUUUUUUUGCUGCUGUUCUGGUGUGAUGCUUUUUCCCUCUGCAGAACUAACCCGUACAUAUUGUUCCACUUUGACAAAACACACCCUCCCCGAUUCCGUCUAACUAAAUGUACUUGCUUCAAAACAAACAUGUAAAUCAUUUGUAUAUGCCUUAAUAUAGGAAUAAUUGAGUUAUUGUGGAGCAGGGAUACUAUUUUUCCUUUCUGUCUGUAUGGCGUAUUGAAACCACACUUUGGGAAAACUAAACCUGCGGUGUUCAGACACAAGCUCAACAGGCAGCGUUUAUAAUCCAACCACGUUCUUCUGAAAUCUCGCGAGAAGUUGACGCUACUGACGCGACCCGAUUCCGCGUUUGCCAGCUAUGUAAAUAUUAGUUGAAUGACUUUUAAUAGGGCGGAACGGUGGGCCGGGUGUGGUUACGAAUCCCCCCCCCCCGCUCUGCGUACGUUUUCCCCAUGUCGUAUGGGUUUCCUCUCAUAGUCCAAAUAAAUGUAGUGUUGCUGACUGGUGUCUAAUUUGCACGUGGUGUAUGAAUGAAUGUGCCCUGAGAUUGACUGACAUCCCCUCACGGUAACAUUGGUAAAGACACGUUUUACGGUGUGCAGAAACUACAAAUCCAGACCAGGAUUUUGUUUCUACCAACAAAGUGACAGGAUGAGGAAGCCACCUGACCAGCU